Pseudomonas rhizosphaerae is the source of this 194-nucleotide small RNA. It matches the Rfam family "Pseudomonas sRNA P27". The record is from Rfam. NCBI's taxonomy places the organism in Bacteria, Pseudomonadati, Pseudomonadota, Gammaproteobacteria, Pseudomonadales, Pseudomonadaceae.
CGGGUUCAACUCCUGCUUGUUACCGUUUCAUCCAACCGGGGCCGGAUGUCGUUUUGGUGUCUGAUUCGGUAAGGAACCGGGAGCACCAUCUGCGUAGGCUUGAGGUUUAAGACUUGCGUCGCCUACGGUCUUGGAUAGCCCCCGCCAGGCAGGGACCCCAAUUUUUUCAGCUGGUGGAACGGUUCCCCGCCCCA